This 323-nucleotide unclassified non-coding RNA is filed under the name uncultured fungus. RNAcentral's name for it is "partial contains small subunit ribosomal RNA, internal transcribed spacer 1, and 5.8S ribosomal RNA". The stretch from base 1 to 73 matches the Rfam family "Eukaryotic small subunit ribosomal RNA", at positions 1759 to 1831 of the family's 1831-position model. The record is from RNAcentral. Lineage: Eukaryota; Fungi.
GCAAACUUGGUCAUUUAGAGGAAGUAAAAGUCGUAACAAGGUUUCCGUAGGUGAACCUGCGGAAGGAUCAUUCACAAUAAGUGUUUAUGGCACUUUCAAAUCCAUACCCACCUUGUGUGCAAUGUAAGAGCCCUUUCAACCCUCUUUCUCUCCCCUCUCCUCUCUCUCCGGAGGGAGGGGGAAGAGGAAGAACGGGAGGACUGGGCUUCCAUUUUCUUCUCACUCGUCUUCAAUUGCAAGUCUAACAUUCAGAGUAAUCAAAAAACUCGAAUACAACUUUCAACAACGGAUCUCUUGGCUCUCGCAUCGAUGAAGAACGCAGC